RNAcentral lists this long non-coding RNA (215 nucleotides) under Capsicum annuum. Its description in RNAcentral is "long non-coding RNA (CANN_LNC015365)". The record is from RNAcentral. Lineage: Eukaryota; Viridiplantae; Streptophyta; Magnoliopsida; Solanales; Solanaceae.
AUAUGAGAAUUAUAAGUUGAAUGGAAUGAAUAUGGUAUUUAAGGGAAAUAGUAUAGUUAAGGGAGUAUUAAAGAAGUGUGCUAAGCUUGAAAAACAAGAAGUUGCAUUGUCCAAGAUCUUUUGCUCCAUAAUGCUACUAGAAUUUCUUUAGACAGAGUGUUGAAGAGAUACUCCCGUUGAAUAUAAGUUUCCGGUGUAUUUCAGUUUAGCAGUCA